Molecule: ribosomal RNA, 486 nt
Filed under: uncultured bacterium
Lineage: Bacteria
Description: partial 16S ribosomal RNA
Rfam family: Bacterial small subunit ribosomal RNA
Source: RNAcentral
AUUGAACGCUGGCGGCAUGCCUUACACAUGCAAGUCGAACGGCAGCACGGGUGCUUGCACCUGGUGGCGAGUGGCGAACGGGUGAGUAAUACAUCGGAACAUGUCCUGUAGUGGGGGAUAGCCCGGCGAAAGCCGGAUUAAUACCGCAUACGAUCUACGGAUGAAAGCGGGGGACCUUCGGGCCUCGCGCUAUAGGGUUGGCCGAUGGCUGAUUAGCUAGUUGGUGGGGUAAAGGCCUACCAAGGCGACGAUCAGUAGCUGGUCUGAGAGGACGACCAGCCACACUGGGACUGAGACACGGCCCAGACUCCUACGGGAGGCAGCAGUGGGGAAUUUUGGACAAUGGGCGAAAGCCUGAUCCAGCAAUGCCGCGUGUGUGAGGAAGGCCUUCGGGUUGUAAAGCACUUUUGUCCGGAAAGAAAUCCUUGGCUCUAAUACAGUCGGGGGAUGACGGUACCGGAAGAAUAAGCACCGGCUAACUACGUG